GUCGUUUUUUUAUGCGGUCUAUCAUGCAAGUCGAGCGAACCAAAGGGAGCUUGCUCCCGGAGGUUAGCGGCGGACGGGUGAGUAACACGUGGGCAACCUACCUGUAAGAUUGGGAUAACUUCGGGAAACCGGAGCUAAUACCGAAUAACAAUAAGAACCACAUGGUUCUUAUUUGAAAGAUGGCUUCGGCUAUCACUUACGGAUGGGCCCGCGGCGCAUUAGCUAGUUGGUGAGGUAACGGCUCACCAAGGCGACGAUGCGUAGCCGACCUGAGAGGGUGAUCGGCCACACUGGGACUGAGACACGGCCCAGACUCCUACGGGAGGCAGCAGUAGGGAAUCUUCCGCAAUGGACGAAAGUCUGACGGAGCAACGCCGCGUGAGUGAAGAAGGUUUUCGGAUCGUAAAACUCUGUUGUUAGGGAAGAACAAGUAUCGUUCGAAUAGGGCGGUACCUUGACGGUACCUAACCAGAAAGCCACGGCUAACUACGUGCCAGCAGCCGCGGUAAUACGUAAGUGGCAAGCGUUGUCUGGAAUUAUUGGGCGUAAAGCGCG
This 555-nucleotide ribosomal RNA is filed under the name Bacillus sp. M107. Its description in RNAcentral is "bacterial SSU rRNA". It matches the Rfam family "Bacterial small subunit ribosomal RNA", at positions 32 to 569 of the family's 1533-position model. The record is from RNAcentral. Lineage: Bacteria; Bacillati; Bacillota; Bacilli; Caryophanales; Bacillaceae.